This is a non-coding RNA of Anas platyrhynchos (mallard), 2804 nucleotides long. The record is from RefSeq and is a predicted model, not a curated record. Lineage: Eukaryota; Metazoa; Chordata; Aves; Anseriformes; Anatidae.
GCUGGCUGGUCCUGGGCCACCCCUCCCCUUGGGUGGUGGUGCGGGGGGAAGGCAGGGGCUUGCCCAUCACCCGCUCAGGCCCUAACCUACACCACUCUGUCUCCCACAGGCAUCCAUGACCUCGCACAAGCCCCGGCACGCCAGCCACAGCCCGCCCACGUCAGGAGAGCUCUGCGGGCUCUGCGCAGGGCUUUGUGCUGCAGCUUCAUCCCAGAAGAGUGGGAGUAGCAGCAAUGUAUCAGCAAUGUAGCCCGGUGGUCGUGGGCAGGGGUCUUUCAGGAUGAAGGCAACGAGGAAGAGGAGAGCUGCCACCCCACAGAACGCACUUGUGGACCUGAAAUCGAAGUCUCUGCAGAUGGCAGCAGUGCCUAUGAAGCAGCAGCAUGUCCUCAUCCCUCACCCCCCAGAGGAGAACACUGAGGCAGAUCCUGUGAGGAAAUCAAUGCCAAGCAAGUGUGGGCGAGCUCCCACAAAGGCAAUGGGAAAGAUGAGCUGCAGCAGGCUGGGCUCUCACUGGCACCCUUCUCCCUGAAGGGAGCAGGGAGCGUCACUCAGCUCUCCUCACUGGAGCGGAAUCUUGAACCUUUCCAGAGAAUCACAGAAUGGCUUGGGUUGCAAUUGAGUUAAAGAUCUUCUAUUCCCUCCCGCCCCCUGCCAUGAGCAGGGAUGCCAUUCACUAGAGCAAGUAGCCCAGUGCCUCAUCCAAACAGGUCUUGAAGACCUCCAGGGAUGGGGCAUCCACGGCUUCUCUGGGCAAGCUGUUCCAGUGCCUCACCACCCUCUGUGUGAAGAAAUUUUGUGGCCACCAAGGAGCAGCUCUGACUAGCCUUCUCUUUUCCUCCUUACAGGGAUGCCUCCUGCUAUUAAGAGCCGGCUGCUCACACCCCAGAGUCGCUCUCCAGCCAGACUCUCCAGGGCGACAGGGAAGGCACAGCUGGGCCAGGCUGCUGGGGAAAAAGAGCCUUCUCCCAAAUGAGGCUGGGGGAAAGCCAUAGAAGGCAGCCCCAGAGCUCUUCCCCUUGAGUCAUCGAGAAGCUUUCCUUGCACGCAGGGACUUGGUGAACUCCACAAUGGGCCUGACACAUGUCCCACUGACGGCAGGUUCCUGCCUGGGCACCCAGCAGGAUUGGGCUCUACAUACCUCGGGGAAGAGCUGCAGGGAGAAGAGCCUCUCCAAGCACCCAAGGGUUUUGCUUUGGAGAAGAAGGGAGACGCAAGUGUGGAGGGAGAGUCUACCAGAACAGGUGUAUCCCGUUUUCUUUUCCUGAAUUAUGCCUGUCUGUUCUUGGACACCGGCAUUCCUCGGGACACGGUGCAGCGCCGCAUUCAAGAGACCCUGCUCUUUCUCUCUUGCACCCUUAGAAAGAAGCAGGCUGUUGAUUUCGUCUUCAAGGACAUUGGCCAUCUGGUGUUCCACAAGGGCUGAGUCCAAAUGCAGUUUUCCACCGACUGCGUUCCUCAGCACACCAUGGCAGAGCAGCAGGAUCAUGACUUCAGCUUUAAGGCCACUGGCUGUGUGGUUCUCUGGAAACCUGUCUCAGUAGGCGAGGGAUGAUGCGUUCAGCCACAUCUGGCCCUCUCACAGAUGAGCUCUGGUAGCAUAGUUAUCUUUCCCAAGCUGAGUGAGAAGACUUGCAUAUGGAACGAAUGUGAAAGGUGCUGGCAUGUACAAGCUAAAUAUUACUGAAUAAAGACAGUGGUAACCAGCCUCAGCCGUGCUGCAUAUGAGCUGUGAGAAACGGGAAGAGAAGAGCUGGCAGCUGUCUCCUCUGUUCUUUCCCAUUUCUGGCUGGGAGCACGAGAAGCCCAUCGGGACAGUGUUUGCAGGGGCCAUGACAAUUUUGCUGGGCUAGGGGAAGCCUCCGCUCCUACGGGUGGAGAAGGGACAGAGAGAGAUGGAGGCCAGGAGUGCUGCCAUCCUGUGCAGCAGCCACCUCAUGUUCCCAACUCUCAUGCACCUCCCAGAUGAUGGGAUUGUGAAAGUUUGGGAUGCAGUAUCCCACUACAUCCCAGCAACGCCUAGCACCUUCUGGCCGGUAGCGGCUCCUGGAAACGUCCCUCUCCGUGCUGUUGGCACCCUGAUGGCUGCGUUGGUGGUUGACUUCUCCUCUUGGCAGCUGGCGCAGCUGCAGGUGUACCUCCAGCUGCUGUCCUGAAUUAUGCCUGGCUGUUCUUGCACACCAGCAUUCCUAGGGACACCAUGCAGUGCUGCAUUCAGGAGACCUGCUCUUUCUCUCCUACACCCGUGCAAAGAAGCAGGGUGUGGACUUCAUCUUCAAGGACAUUGGCCGUCUGGUCUUCCGCAAGAGCAGAGUCCAAAGGCAAUUUUCCACAGACUUUGUUCACAGCCUAAGUAACAACGUCCAGCUGCUGAAAUCUCAGAUGAAUGACCAAGUGACAGGACCAAGAGAAGAGCUGUGGGCAUCCCUGGGAAGACUGCAGAGGAUCUUCUGAUCUCCUGCGUUUUGGAAGGAGGCUGUGCUCCGGGCUCUUGGGACAGGCAGAGGUGGCGAUCUUCAGAGCCCACCCGAGAGGUUUCUUCUCCGUUGCUGCAGCUGCCUUUAGUGCGGAGUGUGCGGGCAUCCAUGACCUCACACAAGCCCCGGCACACCAGCCACGGCCCGCCCACAUCAGGAGACAGGCGCUUCGGGCUCUGCGCAGUGCUUUGUGCUGCAGCUUCAUCGCAGAAGAGUGGGAGUAGCAGCGCCCAGCUGCCAGCACCAGGAGGGCGCUCGGAGCUGUACGCUGACAUCACUGAUAGGAACAGGACAGUGCCCCAGGAAUUCAGAUGCCCCACCACACCC